GAUGAACGCUGGCGGCGUGCUUAACACAUGCAAGUCGAGCGAAGCACUUUUGCAGAUUUCUUCGGAUUGAAGCAAUUGUGACUGAGCGGCGGACGGGUGAGUAACGCGUGGGUAACCUGCCUCAUACAGGGGGAUAACAGUUGGAAACGGCUGCUAAUACCGCAUAAGCGCACAGUACCGCAUGGUACCGUGUGAAAAACUCCGGUGGUAUGAGAUGGACCCGCGUCUGAUUAGCUAGUUGGUGGGGUAACGGCCUACCAAGGCGACGAUCAGUAGCCGACCUGAGAGGGUGACCGGCCACAUUGGGACUGAGACACGGCCCAAACUCCUACGGGAGGCAGCAGUGGGGAAUAUUGCACAAUGGGGGAAACCCUGAUGCAGCGACGCCGCGUGAGCGAUGAAGUAUUUCGGUAUGUAAAGCUCUAUCAGCAGGGAAGAAAAUGACGG
This 447-nucleotide ribosomal RNA is filed under the name uncultured bacterium. RNAcentral's name for it is "bacterial SSU rRNA". It matches the Rfam family "Bacterial small subunit ribosomal RNA", at positions 28 to 457 of the family's 1533-position model. The record is from RNAcentral.